GCGGGGCGCGACUCUCAGUGUCUCUGACGGAGAAAGCAGCAGACUCGUGGCCUCCUCGGUCAUCCCGGGGGAGCAGCCAGUGCUUUGGAGCGGCGUGUUCAGUGUGGAUGGAGGAGACACCAACACCGAGCUGAUGGUGUUUGACAUCAGCCCUGAUUACAGCAGAGCAGGGGACAGAGAUCCAGACUUCUACACCUCUGUGCCAUCAGAAGUGACGGUGACGGUCCUGAAACCAAAGGCAGUCCUCUUCAGGCACAGCUACAUGACCUCUGUGCUGGCAGUGAGGCAGAGAGGCUGGAUGGUUUUCUUCAUUGGGACAGGAGACGGGCAGCUCAUUAAGCUGUCUGUGGACAGGAAGUAUCACGCUGCCUGUCCCACGGUGCUCUACAGGACCAGUGAUGACCGCAAAGUGAUUCCCAAAUUACAUCUGGAUCCAGUGGAUCGUAAACAUGUGUAUGUGCCAUUUAGAAACCAGAUGAAGCGAGUUCCUGUGUCAAAGUGCAGCACGUACACAAAUGUGCAGGAGUGUUGGUCUGCACAGGAUGGUGUGGCUCUAAAAGCAGCUGCACAUUUGAAGAUGACUGCACAGAUUCAGACUGGCUGUCCAUUCCUGAUGAGUCCCAACACAAAAUGAUUUCCCACAAAGUUGAAAAGGACACAAAUGGACAGGUUUUACUAAAAAUGCACACACACCUGAUCGUGGGCCAAGAAGUGUCGUCUAACUUUAUCUGUCAGUUCGCUGCAAGGUCUGGCUCAAUUUGUGCUCCGAAUAACCCUCCUCCACAGUUCCCACAAUGCACCUGCAUCCUGUCUGAUCGUACACUUCCUGCUGAUGGGCAGUGACUUUUCAUAAAUUAAAUACUUUGCAGUCAGACCUACUUACUGAUUUGCAACAUCUCCCAACCAGCAAAAUAGAAACAUUACAGAGCUGACUCUGACAGAUGAAUACUCUUUACUAGUUGACAAAUCUGAGCUGUUCGUUAUUAUAAACUGUGCAA
Oreochromis aureus is the source of this 998-nucleotide long non-coding RNA. The record is from Ensembl. NCBI's taxonomy places the organism in Eukaryota, Metazoa, Chordata, Actinopteri, Cichliformes, Cichlidae.